UACGUAGGGGGCUAGCGUUGUCCGGAUUUAUUGGGCGUAAAGAGCGUGUAGGCGGCCAGGUAGGUCUGCUGUGAAAACUCGAGGCUUAACCUCGAGAUGUCGGCGGAAACCAUCUGGCUAGAGUCCGGAAGAGGAGAUUGGAAUUCCCGGUGUAGCGGUGAAAUGUGUAGAGAUCGGGAGGAACACCGGUGGCGAAGGCGGGUCUCUGGGCAUUUCCUGACGCUGAGGCGCGAAAGCGUGGGGAGCAAACGGG
This 253-nucleotide ribosomal RNA is filed under the name uncultured bacterium. RNAcentral describes it as "partial 16S ribosomal RNA". It matches the Rfam family "Bacterial small subunit ribosomal RNA", at positions 524 to 776 of the family's 1533-position model. The record is from RNAcentral.